This 402-nucleotide ribosomal RNA is filed under the name uncultured bacterium. RNAcentral's name for it is "bacterial SSU rRNA". It matches the Rfam family "Bacterial small subunit ribosomal RNA", at positions 355 to 747 of the family's 1533-position model. The record is from RNAcentral.
UGGGGAAUUUUGGACAAUGGGCGCAAGCCUGAUCCAGCAAUGCCGCGUGAGUGAAGAAGGCCUUCGGGUUGUAAAGCUCUUUUAGUUGAAAAGAAAAAACUCGUGACUAAUAAUCACGAUUCAUGACGGUAUCAACAGAAAAACGCACCGGCUAACUACGUGCCAGCAGCCGCGGUAAUACGUAGGGUGCAAGCGUUAAUCGGAAUUACUGGGCGUAAAGGGUGCGUAGGCGGUUUUGUAAGUCAGAUGUGAAAUCCCCGGGCUUAACCUGGGAAUUGCGUUUGAAACUGCAAGACUAGAGUGCGGCAGAGGGAGGUGGAAUUCCAUGUGUAGCAGUGAAAUGCGUAGAGAUAUGGAAGAACAUCGAUGGCGAAGGCAACCUCCUGGGCUAGCACUGACGCU